This is a long non-coding RNA of Schistocerca cancellata (South American locust), 371 nucleotides long. RefSeq lists it as uncharacterized. The record is from RefSeq and is a predicted model, not a curated record. Lineage: Eukaryota; Metazoa; Arthropoda; Insecta; Orthoptera; Acrididae. The transcript has 2 exons.
AUAACCAUAAUUCUUUAGUCAUUCAGGCAGUAAUAGAACUAGACUUGUCAAACCCUAUUUGGUUUCAGCUACAUUCUCUCGCAUAUCACUUCAAAAUGAAAUUAUGUUCUGUUCUGGGAUUUCAACUCAAAAAACUUUAAAUUUUCCUCAAGAAAGAAAUAAACACAAUCUGGAUUUUUUUAUUUUUUUAAUGGGUAAUGGCAGAGUACACAUUUUGGGCCUCAUUAAAAACCAUGGGAAUGAUGACUAAAAAUUCCUUCAAUGGUUCUUUAGGUUGAAAGACAUUCAGUAAUGAAAUAGGUGUAACAUGCUCUGUUGGUUUUCUAACACAUACAUAAUUUAUGAAAAUAUUCACAGAAUUUUAUGGUCAC